RNAcentral lists this ribosomal RNA (687 nucleotides) under uncultured bacterium. RNAcentral describes it as "bacterial SSU rRNA". It matches the Rfam family "Bacterial small subunit ribosomal RNA", at positions 8 to 690 of the family's 1533-position model. The record is from RNAcentral.
AGAGUUUGAUCAUGGCUCAGAUUGAACGCUGGCGGCAGGCCUAACACAUGCAAGUCGAGCGGAUGAAGGGAGCUUGCUCCUGGAUUCAGCGGCGGACGGGUGAGUAAUGCCUAGGAAUCUGCCUGGUAGUGGGGGAUAACGUCCGGAAACGGGCGCUAAUACCGCAUACGUCCUGAGGGAGAAAGUGGGGGAUCUUCGGACCUCACGCUAUCAGAUGAGCCUAGGUCGGAUUAGCUAGUUGGUGGGGUAAAGGCCUACCAAGGCGACGAUCCGUAACUGGUCUGAGAGGAUGGUCAGUCACACUGGAACUGAGACACGGUCCAGACUCCUACGGGAGGCAGCAGUGGGGAAUAUUGGACAAUGGGCGAAAGCCUGAUCCAGCCAUGCCGCGUGUGUGAAGAAGGUCUUCGGAUUGUAAAGCACUUUAAGUUGGGAGGAAGGGCAGUAAGUUAAUACCUUGCUGUUUUGACGUUACCAACAGAAUAAGCACCGGCUAACUUCGUGCCAGCAGCCGCGGUAAUACGAAGGGUGCAAGCGUUAAUCGGAAUUACUGGGCGUAAAGCGCGCGUAGGUGGUUCAGCAAGUUGGAUGUGAAAUCCCCGGGCUCAACCUGGGAACUGCAUCCAAAACUACUGAGCUAGAGUACGGUAGAGGGUGGUGGAAUUUCCUGUGUAGCGGUGAAAUGCG